GCUAUAGGCUUUAUCAAUUGGCUAUUUUCCACACCUUGGUGAGGUAAAAGGCAGAGGUACAGUUCGAGAACGUCAUAGGAGCCAACUCUUUGCUACAGAGGGUGGGCCAGAUCCAGCAGCCUGACCCACGAAACUUAAGGCGAAAGAAGGGAUGGGAUACAUUUUGUCCUGGAACUCAGAGUAGAAAGGGUCCUCUCCUGCUAAGUAAUCCUGGCAUACCCCUCUAGCCCGUAUUUUGCCUGUGCCAGCUCCAUGGCACUGCUGAUGGUGACCACGACACUGAGAUGUCCGAAGACACUGACAUCCUACACAGGUAAGUGUCAAGAGUCAUUAGAGAGCAACAAAGGCCUAUUAGUUGGAAAUAUCAGCUAUUCUUUCUCCUUCUGCCAUUCCAUCUCUUAUAAUGAAACAACACACCUUGCUGUGGCUGGUCAAAUGGAACCAAGUCAGGUGUUUCUGUGAGGUUUGGUCCCCUUCAACCAGCUACUGCGCUGUGAAUUCAGCAAGCAACUCCAGCUAAGCGAGAAUCAGCCAUUUCAGUUUUUGUACUGGCUAUAUUAACCAUGCUAUGUGUACGCCGCUGGUAUAUGUGUCAUUUAAGAAGAAUAUAUUUGAAAGUACUGUCUAUUUAUAUAAAGGUGAGAGGAGUGUAUUUUCAUAUAGUAUAUAUAGUUUAUUUGAACAUUGUUAUUGUGUGCAUAAUUAUCAAUGAAUAAAAAUGAUCUUUGUCAUUA
Molecule: long non-coding RNA, 734 nt
Organism: Colossoma macropomum (tambaqui)
Lineage: Eukaryota; Metazoa; Chordata; Actinopteri; Characiformes; Serrasalmidae
Exons: 2
Source: RefSeq, a predicted model, not a curated record